RNAcentral lists this ribosomal RNA (661 nucleotides) under uncultured Pseudomonadota bacterium. RNAcentral's name for it is "bacterial SSU rRNA". It matches the Rfam family "Bacterial small subunit ribosomal RNA", at positions 68 to 723 of the family's 1533-position model. The record is from RNAcentral. Lineage: Bacteria; Pseudomonadati; Pseudomonadota.
AGCACAGAGAGCUUGCUCCUCGGGUGACGAGCGGCGGACGGGUGAGUAAUGUCUGGGAAACUGCCUGAUGGAGGGGGAUAACUACUGGAAACGGUAGCUAAUACCGCAUAACGUCGCAAGACCAAAGUGGGGGACCUUCGGGCCUCAUGCCAUCAGAUGUGCCCAGAUGGGAUUAGCUAGUAGGUGGGGUAACGGCUCACCUAGGCGACGAUCCCUAGCUGGUCUGAGAGGAUGACCAGCCACACUGGAACUGAGACACGGUCCAGACUCCUACGGGAGGCAGCAGUGGGGAAUAUUGCACAAUGGGCGCAAGCCUGAUGCAGCCAUGCCGCGUGUGUGAAGAAGGCCUUCGGGUUGUAAAGCACUUUCAGCGGGGAGGAAGGCGGUGAGGUUAAUAACCUCAUCGAUUGACGUUACCCGCAGAAGAAGCACCGGCUAACUCCGUGCCAGCAGCCGCGGUAAUACGGAGGGUGCAAGCGUUAAUCGGAAUUACUGGGCGUAAAGCGCACGCAGGCGGUCUGUCAAGUCGGAUGUGAAAUCCCCGGGCUCAACCUGGGAACUGCAUUCGAAACUGGCAGGCUAGAGUCUUGUAGAGGGGGGUAGAUUCCAGGUGUAGCGGUGAAAUGCGUAGAGAUCUGGAGGAAUACCGGUGGCGAAGGCG